RNAcentral lists this ribosomal RNA (253 nucleotides) under uncultured bacterium. RNAcentral describes it as "partial 16S ribosomal RNA". It matches the Rfam family "Bacterial small subunit ribosomal RNA", at positions 524 to 776 of the family's 1533-position model. The record is from RNAcentral.
UACGGAGGAUCCGAGCGUUAUCCGGAUUUAUUGGGCUUAAAGGGUGCGUAGGCGGUUUGAUAAGUUAGAGGUGAAAUGUCGGGGCUCAACCCCGAAACUGCCUCUAAUACUGUUGGACUAGAGAAUAGUUGCGGUAGGCGGAAUGUAUGGUGUAGCGGUGAAAUGCUUAGAGAUCAUACAGAACACCGAUUGCGAAGGCAGCUUACCAAACUAUAUCUGACGUUGAGGCACGAAAGCGUGGGUAGCAAACAGG